CCUACGGGAGGCAGCAGUGGGGAAUUUUGGACAAUGGGCGCAAGCCUGAUCCAGCAAUGCCGCGUGCAGGAUGAAGGCCUUCGGGUUGUAAACUGCUUUUGUACGGAACGAAAAGGCUCUGGCUAAUACCUGGGGCUGAUGACGGUACCGUAAGAAUAAGCACCGGCUAACUACGUGCCAGCAGCCGCGGUAAUACGUAGGGUGCGAGCGUUAAUCGGAAUUACUGGGCGUAAAGCGUGCGCAGGCGGUUUUGUAAGACAGGUGUGAAAUCCCCGGGCUUAACCUGGGAACUGCACUUGUGACUGCAAGGCUGGAGUACGGCAGAGGGGGAUGGAAUUCCGCGUGUAGCAGUGAAAUGCGUAGAUAUGCGGAGGAACACCGAUGGCGAAGGCAGUCCCCUGGGCCUGUACUGACGCUCAUGCACGAAAGCGUGGGGAGCAAACAGGAUUAGAUACCCUGGUAGU
RNAcentral lists this ribosomal RNA (464 nucleotides) under uncultured Comamonadaceae bacterium. RNAcentral describes it as "partial 16S ribosomal RNA". It matches the Rfam family "Bacterial small subunit ribosomal RNA", at positions 338 to 794 of the family's 1533-position model. The record is from RNAcentral. Lineage: Bacteria; Pseudomonadati; Pseudomonadota; Betaproteobacteria; Burkholderiales; Comamonadaceae.